Dermochelys coriacea (leatherback sea turtle) is the source of this 163-nucleotide long non-coding RNA. RefSeq lists it as uncharacterized. The transcript is spliced from 3 exons. The record is from RefSeq and is a predicted model, not a curated record. NCBI's taxonomy places the organism in Eukaryota, Metazoa, Chordata, Testudines, Dermochelyidae.
CUUCAAUACCUGAGAAUGAGGGCAUGUCUACCCUUACCUCCGGAGUGAUCGAUCCAGCGGGGAUCAAUUUACCGCGUCUAGUGAAGACGCAAUAAAUCGACUGCUGAGCGUUCUCCCGUCAACUCUGGUACUUCACCGGCGCAAGAAGCAUAGGCGGAGUCAA